Molecule: ribosomal RNA, 505 nt
Filed under: uncultured bacterium
Lineage: Bacteria
Description: partial 16S ribosomal RNA
Rfam family: Bacterial small subunit ribosomal RNA
Source: RNAcentral
GACGAACGCUGGCGGCGUGCCUAAUACUUGCAAGUAGAACGCACAGUUUAUACCGUAGCUUGCUACACCAUAAACUGUGAGUUGCGAACGGGUGAGUAACGCGUAGGUAACCUGCCUGGUAGCGGGGGAUAACUAUUGGAAACGAUAGCUAAUACCGCAUAAUAUUGAUUAUUGCAUGAUAAUUGAUUGAAAGAUGCUAUUGCAUCACUACCAGAUGGACCUGCGUUGUAUUAGCUAGUAGGUGAGGUAACGGCUCACCUAGGCGACGAUACAUAGCCGACCUGAGAGGGUGAUCGGCCACACUGGGACUGAGACACGGCCCAGACUCCUACGGGAGGCAGCAGUAGGGAAUCUUCGGCAAUGGACGAAAGUCUGACCGAGCAACGCCGCGUGAGUGAAGAAGGUUUUCGGAUCGUAAAGCUCUGUUGUAAGAGAAGAACGGGUGUGAGAGUGGAAAGUUCACACUGUGACGGUAUCUUACCAGAAAGGGACGGCUAACUACGUG